RNAcentral lists this ribosomal RNA (355 nucleotides) under Eukaryota sp. RNAcentral's name for it is "SSU rRNA". It matches the Rfam family "Eukaryotic small subunit ribosomal RNA", at positions 1325 to 1699 of the family's 1831-position model. The record is from RNAcentral.
GCGUUAACGAACGAGACCUCGACCUGCUAAAUAGUUUGGCAAAUCUUUCGGGAUUUGUACACGCUUCUUAGAGGGACUAUCGGUGUGUAGCCGAUGGAAGUUCGAGGCAAUAACAGGUCUGUGAUGCCCUUAGAUGUUCUGGGCCGCACGCGCGCUACACUGAUACGUUCAUCGAGCUUACAACCUUGACUGAGAGGUCUGGGUAAUCUUUUAAAUCGUAUCGUGCUGGGGAUAGAUUAUUGUAAUUUUUAAUCUUCAACGAGGAAUUCCUAGUAAACGCGAGUCAUCAGCUCGCAUUGAUUACGUCCCUGCCCUUUGUACACACCGCCCGUCGCUAAUACCGAUUGAAUGGAUA